This 492-nucleotide ribosomal RNA is filed under the name uncultured bacterium. RNAcentral's name for it is "partial 16S ribosomal RNA". It matches the Rfam family "Bacterial small subunit ribosomal RNA", at positions 29 to 507 of the family's 1533-position model. The record is from RNAcentral.
AGUGAACGCUGGCGGUAGGCCUAACACAUGCAAGUCGAACGGCAGCACAGUAAGAGCUUGCUCUUACGGGUGGCGAGUGGCGGACGGGUGAGGAAUACAUCGGAAUCUACUUUUUCGUGGGGGAUAACGUAGGGAAACCUACGCUAAUACCGCAUACGACCUACGGGUGAAAGCAGGGGAUCUUCGGACCUUUCGCGAUUGAAUGAGCCGAUGCCGGAUUAGCUAGUGGGCGGGGUAAGGGCCCACCAGGGCGACGAUCCGUAGCUGGUCUGAGAGGAUGAUCAGCCACACUGGAACUGAGACACGGUCCAGACUCCUACGGGAGGCCGCAGUGGGGAAUAUUGGACAAUGGGCGCAAGCCUGAUCCAGCCAUGCCGCGUGGGUGAAGAAGGCCUUCGGGUUGUAAAGCCGUUUUGUUGGGAAAGAAAAGCAGCAGGUUAAUACCCCGCUGUUCUGACGGUACCCAAAGAAUAAGCACCGGCUAACUUCGUG